RNAcentral lists this ribosomal RNA (775 nucleotides) under uncultured Neocallimastigales. RNAcentral's name for it is "partial large subunit ribosomal RNA". It matches the Rfam family "Eukaryotic large subunit ribosomal RNA", at positions 24 to 643 of the family's 3401-position model. The record is from RNAcentral. Lineage: Eukaryota; Fungi; Neocallimastigomycota; Neocallimastigomycetes; Neocallimastigales.
UAUCUCUGUAGAGUCUGCAUAUCAAUAAGCGGAGGAAAAGAAACUAACUAGGAUUCCCUCAGUAACGGCGAGUGAAGCGGGAAGAGCUCAAAUUUGAAAUCUUCAAGGUUCUACCUUGACGAAUUGUAGUUUAAGGAAGUGUUUUCUGUUGGAGUUUUGGUAAAAGUUCUUUGGAAUAGGACAUCAUAGAGGGUGAGAAUCCCGUAUUUGACCAUUACUUUCCAGCUGUGUGAUACACUUUCAAAGAGUCGGAUUGUUUGGGAAUGCAGUCCAAAAUGGGUGGUAAAUUUCAUCUAAAGCUAAAUAUUGGCGAGAGACCGAUAGCGAACAAGUACCGUGAGGGAAAGAUGAAAAGAACUUUGAAAAGAGAGUUAAACAGUACGUGAAAUUGUCAAAAGGGAAGCGUUUGACACCAGUGUUGUUUUCUCGAAAAUCAAUUACGAAUGGCUUGAUUCUGUGUUGUAUUGACCUUAUCAGCUUUCUUCACUUUUUUCGAGUCUUUCUUAAUGCACUUUUCGGUUAACAAGUCAACAUCAAUUUCUUUUGUUGUAAAAGAGUAUUCGGAAGGUGGCUUUCUUUUCGGAGAAAGUGUUUAUAGCCCUAUACUUCUACAAUCGGAGAGAUUGAGGUCUGCAGCGUAGAUCCUUCGGGGUUAGAUACACUUGUGCUAAGUUGUAGCUUUUCAUAGACAACUUGUUGACUAUGUUUAGUCAUGCGGCUUACUCGCUUGUGCUAUUUUACCUACGCUUAGGAUGUUGAAGAUGUAGCACAUCAU